UACUGCUAUCAGUGUUCGAUUAAGCCAUGCGAGUUAAAUGUUCUUCGUGAACAUGGCGUACUGCUCAGUAACACGUGGAUAACCUGCCCUAAGGUCCGGCAUAACCCCGGGAAACUGGGGAUAAUACCGGAUAAACCAUAGAUACUGGAAUGUUCUGUGGUUAAAAGUUCCGGCGCCUUAGGAUGGAUCUGCGGCCUAUCAGGUAGUAGUGGGUGUAAAGUACCUACUAGCCGACGACGGGUACGGGUUGUGAGAGCAAGAGCCCGGAGAUGGAUUCUGAGACAUGAAUCCAGGCCCUACGGGGCGCAGCAGGCGCGAAAUCUUUACAAUGCGGGAAACCGCGAUAAGGGGACACCGAGUGCCAGCAUACAAUGCUGGCUGUCCACAUGUGUAAAUAGCAUGUGAUAGCAAGGGCCGGGCAAGACCGGUGCCAGCCGCCGCGGUAACACCGGCGGCCCGAGUGGUAAUCACUAUUAUUGGGUCUAAAGGGUCCGUAGCCGGUUUGAUCAGUCUUCCGGGAAAUCUGACAGCUCAACUGUUAGGCUUCCGGGGGAUACUGUC
RNAcentral lists this ribosomal RNA (561 nucleotides) under uncultured archaeon. RNAcentral describes it as "bacterial SSU rRNA". It matches the Rfam family "Archaeal small subunit ribosomal RNA", at positions 25 to 588 of the family's 1478-position model. The record is from RNAcentral.